RNAcentral lists this small RNA (28 nucleotides) under Bombyx mori (domestic silkworm). RNAcentral describes it as "ovarian small RNA-33907". Lineage: Eukaryota; Metazoa; Arthropoda; Insecta; Lepidoptera; Bombycidae. The record is from RNAcentral.
UGCCUUGUCAUUGUCAUCGUAAGCCGGU